RNAcentral lists this ribosomal RNA (253 nucleotides) under uncultured bacterium. RNAcentral describes it as "partial 16S ribosomal RNA". It matches the Rfam family "Bacterial small subunit ribosomal RNA", at positions 524 to 776 of the family's 1533-position model. The record is from RNAcentral.
UACGAAGGGGGCUAGCGUUGUUCGGAAUUACUGGGCGUAAAGCGCACGUAGGCGGACUAUUAAGUCAGGGGUGAAAUCCCGGGGCUCAACCCCGGAACUGCCUUUGAUACUGGUAGUCUCGAGUCCGGAAGAGGUGAGUGGAAUUCCGAGUGUAGAGGUGAAAUUCGUAGAUAUUCGGAAGAACACCAGUGGCGAAGGCGGCUCACUGGUCCGGUACUGACGCUGAGGUGCGAAAGCGUGGGGAGCAAACAGG